This 253-nucleotide ribosomal RNA is filed under the name uncultured bacterium. RNAcentral describes it as "partial 16S ribosomal RNA". It matches the Rfam family "Bacterial small subunit ribosomal RNA", at positions 524 to 776 of the family's 1533-position model. The record is from RNAcentral.
UACGUAGGUGGCAAGCGUUAUCCGGAUUUAUUGGGUGUAAAGGGCGUGUAGGCGGGAGCGCAAGUCAGAUGUGAAAACUCAGGGCUCAACCCUGAGCCUGCAUUUGAAACUGUGUUUCUUGAGUGCUGGAGAGGCAAUCGGAAUUCCGUGUGUAGCGGUGAAAUGCGUAGAUAUACGGAGGAACACCAGUGGCGAAGGCGGAUUGCUGGACAGUAACUGACGUUGAGGCUCGAAAGCGUGGGGAGCAAACAGG